GACGAACGCUGGCGGCGUGCUUAACACAUGCAAGUCGAACGGAAAGGCCCUGCUUUUGUGGGGUGCUCGAGUGGCGAACGGGUGAGUAACACGUGAGUAACCUGCCCUUGACUUUGGGAUAACUUCAGGAAACUGGGGCUAAUACCGGAUAGGAGCUCCUGCUGCAUGGUGGGGGUUGGAAAGUUUCGGCGGUUGGGGAUGGACUCGCGGCUUAUCAGCUUGUUGGUGGGGUAGUGGCUUACCAAGGCUUUGACGGGUAGCCGGCCUGGGAGGGUGACCGGGCACAAGGGGAAUAAGAGACGGGCCAGGACGCUAAGGGGGGCAAGAGGGGGGAAAAUUGGACAAUGGGGCGGAGGCUGAGGCAACGACCGCCGGGGGGGGAUGAAGGGCCUGGGGGUGGGAACCCCUUUCCCCUGUGACCGAGGGGGAGGGACGGUAAAGGGUAAAAAAGCAACGGCUAACUACGUG
This 468-nucleotide ribosomal RNA is filed under the name uncultured bacterium. RNAcentral describes it as "partial 16S ribosomal RNA". It matches the Rfam family "Bacterial small subunit ribosomal RNA", at positions 28 to 507 of the family's 1533-position model. The record is from RNAcentral.